GACGAACGCUGGCGGCGUGCUUAACACAUGCAAGUCGAACGGAAGGGCCCUGCUUUUGUGGGGUGCUCGAGUGGCGAACGGGGGAGUAACACGUGAGUAACCUGCCCUUGACUUUGGGAUAACUUCAGGAAACUGGGGCUAAUACCGGAUAGGAGCCCCUGCUGCAUGGUGGGGGUUGGAAAGUUUCGGCGGUUGGGGAUGGAUUCGCGGCUUAUCAGCUUGUUGGUGGGGUAGUGGCUUACCAAGGCUUUGGCGGGUAGCCGGCCUGAGAGGGUGACCGGCCACAUUGGGACUGAGAUACGGCCCAGACUCCUACGGGAGGCAGCAGUGGGGAAUAUUGCACAAUGGGCGGAAGCCUGAUGCAGCAACGCCGCGUGCGGGAUGACGGCCUUCGGGUUGUAAACCGCUUUCGCCUGUGACGAAGCGUGAGUGACGGUAAUGGGUAAAGAAGCACCGGCUAACUACGUG
This 468-nucleotide ribosomal RNA is filed under the name uncultured bacterium. RNAcentral describes it as "partial 16S ribosomal RNA". It matches the Rfam family "Bacterial small subunit ribosomal RNA", at positions 28 to 507 of the family's 1533-position model. The record is from RNAcentral.